UACCAGACUCCUACGGGAGGCAGCAGUGGGGGAUAUUGCACAAUGGGGGGAACCCUGAUGCAGCGACGCCGCGUGGGUGAAGGAGUAUUUCGGUAUGUAAAGCCCUAUCGGCAGGGAAGAAGCAAGACGGUACCUGACUAAGAAGCCCCGGCUAACUACGUGCCAGCAGCCGCGGUAAUACGUAGGGGGCAAGCGUUAUCCGGAUUUACUGGGGGUAAAGGGGGCGCAGACGGCAAUGCAAGCCAGGAGUGAAAGCCCGGGGCCCAACCCCGGGACUGCUCUUGGAACUGCGCGGCUGGAGUGCAGGAGGGGCAGGCGGAAUUCCUGGUGUAGCGGUGAAAUGCGUAGAUAUCAGGAGGAACACCGGUGGCGAAGGCGGCCUGCUGGACUGCGACUGACGUUGAGGCCCGAAAGCGUGGGGAGCAAACAGGAUUAGAUACCCGAGUACG
RNAcentral lists this ribosomal RNA (449 nucleotides) under uncultured bacterium. RNAcentral's name for it is "partial 16S ribosomal RNA". It matches the Rfam family "Bacterial small subunit ribosomal RNA", at positions 329 to 793 of the family's 1533-position model. The record is from RNAcentral.